RNAcentral lists this ribosomal RNA (477 nucleotides) under uncultured Planctomycetota bacterium. Its description in RNAcentral is "bacterial SSU rRNA". It matches the Rfam family "Bacterial small subunit ribosomal RNA", at positions 365 to 832 of the family's 1533-position model. The record is from RNAcentral. Lineage: Bacteria; Pseudomonadati; Planctomycetota.
UUCGCAAUGCCCGAAAGGGUGACUAUGCGACGCCGCGUGUGCGAUGAAGGUUUUCGGAUUGUAAAGCACUGUCGACCGGGAGGAAUUUCCGGAGGUUGAAUAAACCUACGGGAUGACAGUACCGGUAGAGGAAGCCACGGCUAACUCCGUGCCAGCAGCCGCGGUAAGACGGAGGUGGCAAGCGUUGCUCGGAAUCACUGGGCAUAAAGGGCGCCUAGGCGGUGUGGCAAGUCGACUGUGAAAUCCCUCGGCUCAACCGAGGAAGUGCAGCCGAAACUGCCGCGCUGGAGGACGAGAGGGGAGAGUGGAACUCCUGGUGGAGCGGUGAAAUGCGUAGAUAUCAGGAGGAACGCCGGUGGCGAAAGCGACUCUCUGGCUCGUUCCUGACGCUGACUGCGCGAAAGCUAGGGGAGCGAACGGGAUUAGAUACCCCGGUAGUCCUAGCCGUAAACGAUGGGCACUAAGUAGAGGGGUUUU